GAAAUUUUACUAAGCAGAGAAAAGAAGGGGAAAGCCAGUCCCUUGAUGGUGCUUUCUGCCUUUGUCCUCUCUCUUCUGCUAACGUUGAUGGGCCCUUCAUUAUUUUAAAGCAUUCAUUUUUAAUGUGAAAUUCUUGUAUGACGAUUGGUAUAUAGAGAAUUCAAAUUGGAUAUUGUACUGAGCAUUUCAGUUGAAACUCCCAGCAUGGAAUUCACCAUUGUAUUAGCAAAUUUAAUAGUUCUAGAGUCCAUGUCCAUUAGCAAACCUAAAAUGUGGGUAACAAACAGAAAAAAGCUUGAAGCCUACAGAACUCCAGCAUCUACAAGAAGGAAACACCAGUAACUAUUGUUAUGAUUUUCAACGUUCUUCCUUAGGAUAUGCAAAUAAAUAGCAGUGAAAUAAAUCCCAUGAACUGAUUUAGUACUGAG
This 428-nucleotide unclassified non-coding RNA is filed under the name Hevea brasiliensis (rubber tree). Lineage: Eukaryota; Viridiplantae; Streptophyta; Magnoliopsida; Malpighiales; Euphorbiaceae. The record is from RNAcentral.